Non-coding RNA from Podarcis lilfordi (Lilford's wall lizard), 69 nucleotides. The record is from the annotation of a GenBank genome assembly. Lineage: Eukaryota; Metazoa; Chordata; Lepidosauria; Squamata; Lacertidae.
GGCGUAGCUCAGUGGUAGAACAUCAGCUUUUCCUGAAAACGGUCCCAAGUUCAAUCCCUGGCAUCACCA